GAGAAACAAAGUCUCUCUCUCUGUCUGUGUGUUGCUUUUGCCGGGGACAGAACAGGAAUGGAGUCUUAGAACUUAGAUCUACUUUCCAUACAGCCGAUCUCCCAAGUCUGAGUCUGGAAUCUCAUCCCCAGUGCACCAAGUGCAGGGGUCUUCGUUAUCAUCCCACCACAAUCCUGCCCCUUGCAUUCACCAGCUGCCUGGCACCAGCUCUCCAACCAGGACAACACCUGACAGCUGGCAAUGAGCCACAAUGCAGCCCGUCCCUCUGCCCACGCACAGCUCGCUACCUGAGCAGGUCACCUCCCCAUCACCUGAGAUACCAAACCGCAUGGGGCCGAGAACAGAGCCCUGCAGGACCAUGCUAGAGCUAACCCCUGGUGUGAUGCACCCUCACCUGCACAUAACAACUCUCAGUGACCAGCCCCCAGCCCAUGGCUACAGUGACCGUGCAGCGUUCACAUUUGAACCAGGAUGCCAAGAGGGACUACGUCAAAGUCCAUUACAACCUCCUCCUCUUAGACAAGGGCUUUGAUGUCAGAACGCAGCAGCGCUGCGGGCAGGACUGUUCGCGAGGAGCCGGGCUGUGCACCGGCCAGAGGCAAGAGCUGCUUGGGCUGCCACUAACGUGCCAGACGUUACAGGCUGGGAUAGGCUGGAGGAAGAGCAUUGGAGGGGCGGGGGGGAAACGAGCGUUCUCUCAAGACCCGCCAACACCCCUUGCUCCAGCUGGGGCUGCAGGGCAGCUUGCCUCCAUCAGGAGGGGAGGGCCCUGGGCAAGGGGACGCAGGGGCCAGAGGCUGCGCCGGGGGAUUCAGAACAAGGUGGGGGUGGGGAGAACGUGCCUAGAAGAGCCAGGACCGAGGCUGCAGUCUCAGCCCACAGGGGGAACAGCUGCUCCCCGUCCACAGCAACAGGAAGCUGGUGGGGGAAGAGCCCGUUUCACCCGGCCCAGAGCAAAUUGCGUUAUGAGAGGGAUCCCCCCGACAUACAUACACACUCACCACAUCCCCCGGCUCCCCAGCGUUCAGAUAGUGGGGGUAGGAAGCACAGGAGGUGAGAGGUUUAAGAGGAAACUUGAGGGCUAGAGCAGGGGGCCAGGUGCAGGGGGUGAGGAGGGACACCAGAGGGACAGCCGCACUGGAGCUGUGACCGGGGUGAAAG
Chelonia mydas (Green sea turtle) is the source of this 1161-nucleotide long non-coding RNA. RefSeq lists it as uncharacterized. NCBI's taxonomy places the organism in Eukaryota, Metazoa, Chordata, Testudines, Cheloniidae. The transcript is spliced from 4 exons. The record is from RefSeq and is a predicted model, not a curated record.